GCCGGCCACCCGGCUGCAGCGGCCCAGACCCCAGUCCUGCGAACCCGGCCCGCAGCUCUCCAGGGCGCCGUCCUCCCCGGGUCGUGGGCCCGAAAACCUCCCCCAGGGGACCAGGGGACCGCCCCUUGGGGGGGGGGGUGGGGGAAGAAGAAGAAGGAGGGGUGUGUGUGUGUGUGUGUGUGCGUGCGCGUGUGUUCCUUCUUUCCACUCCUGAUCUCCUCCAUCCACCCCCGCGGCCCCGAGCCAUCUCAGGAAAAUGCCAGACUCUGCCUCCCCUGUAAAACUCUGGGGGCGCGCCCACGGACCUCCUUUCCGUCCACGCACCUGCCCGCCGGACGUCCAACCGUUUUGUGGAGCGCAAAACUGAGACCUGGAAGCUCUUCCCCCAUCCCAGAGACUAAGGACUUGAAAAGAACGCGAUCACGAUACCCUUACCCCACCUUACCGAAUUGAGAAUAAUUCCGCCUGCAGUGACUGAUGGAGCAGGAACAAGGCACUGCGGAUCUAGCGAGGGCCAGAUACUCCUUACCGGUCCCAGGCCCCUGGAAAACUGUGAUUGAAGCCUGUCCUUCCAGGAAAAUGCGCCCACAGGAUUCCGGGGGUUUGAUUUCACUUCUCACCGGCCACCUGAACCCAACUCUUCUCCACUUUCUGGAAGUCUCGCUUGUCCAGGACGACCGGUCUACCGCCUCCCCGUCCUGACGGGCGGCCACGAUGAAGCUGGACCCACCGGUCCCGGCACAGAAUGUGGCACGUGUCGGACAAGGAUUUUUGAACUGAGUUUAGAACAGGGAUUCUAACUCUGUUUUUCUGCUCAGGUUUUAAGUGGGCUAAGCACUUAGUUCUCAGAUGAUUUCUAGGUUGCUGGUAACGCACCGUAAGUGUCAGGGAGAAGAGACUUGGCUGGCAGCCCUUUCUCAGAUGUUCCAAGCAAACAUGCAAACGGUUCUCAAACCUUAGCCUGGUCUCAAUGCCCGUCUUCCCUGAAAGCUGUUUUCGCUUUAUAACCACAGGACGUUUCAAAUCAAAUUCCAGAAAAUGCCUCGCAAUUAAAAUUUUACACUGCCUGUCGCUACGUGCCAGCUUUGCUACUGCUUUUCGUCACUGCCCAUUAUAAAUAAUGACCCUGGCAUGCGUUUUGUUACUAGAGCCAUUAACCCAACUAACCAUUCCGCUCACAUGAAACAAGCCGUGCAUCUGCUAAGGUGACUUGGUGGGUAGAUUUCUUUUUCCUUUUGUUUUUUGUUCUUUGUUUUGUUUUUUUUUUUUCCUUCUGCAGAACCCGAGGACACACAAUAAAAUGAGCAAAUGGAAAUUUCAGGGAAAUGUACAUCAGAGCUACCGAUCCUUCAUGGGGUAUCUACGUAUGGCUUAUAGCACGAAACGUUUUUGUCCACUCUUGGGGCUGCCGUGUUGACAAAAUGAGAUUGCUUUUGCCCAGGCGUGUCCCACCUUAAUCUCCUUUUAUCUGCAGAUAAAAGGAAUUACCUUCUCUUCCCGGGGAGCCCAUGAUGGAGUAGAGAGCAGGUGGGGUUUGGUUUCACACAGACUAGGGUGUUGGCUUACAGCUCUGACAUUCAUUAACUGAGCAAUUAGAAGCUUCAGAUCUUUGAGCCUCAUUUCCCUUGUCUGUAAAAUGGGAAUAAUAAUGCAGAUAAUAAUAUACCUCUCAGCGCCGUGAGAAAAGCUCACCACAGGCUGGCCAGUGGCCAUGGUAUGGCCUCACUAAAAAAGUCACUAGAUAGUGAUGAAUAGCCCCAAUCAAGUAAUUUAAAAAAUAACUUUAUUCCAAGAAAUGAGUACCCCCAAAGUCCAGACAGUGGGUGUGGCAGACAGAAUAACAGUCCCCAGAGAUAUUCAUAUCCUAAUCCCUUGAAUUUGUGAAUAUAUUAUAUUUACAGACGUGGGUAAGUUAAGGGUCUGGGGACGGAGCGAUCGCCCUGGGUUAUCCAGGUGGACACCAUGUCACCACAAGAGUCCUUUUAAUCCGGGGGUCAGAAUCAGGGAAGGGGAUGUGAGGACAGAAGCAGAGGUUGGAGUGAUGUGGAGCCACGGGCACAGGGCUGCCACCAGCGUCUAGGAGCUGGAAAUCCAUCGUCUCCUAGAGACUCCAGAAGGAAUGCAGCCCUGUCAACAGCUUGAUUUUAGCCUGUGAGAUGCAUUUUUAGACCUUUGAUGGCCAGACCUAUACAAUAAUAAAUUGGUGUUGUUUUAAGCCA
This is a long non-coding RNA of Felis catus (domestic cat), 2219 nucleotides long. RefSeq lists it as uncharacterized. The record is from RefSeq and is a predicted model, not a curated record. The transcript is spliced from 4 exons. Lineage: Eukaryota; Metazoa; Chordata; Mammalia; Carnivora; Felidae.